RNAcentral lists this ribosomal RNA (400 nucleotides) under uncultured bacterium. RNAcentral's name for it is "bacterial SSU rRNA". It matches the Rfam family "Bacterial small subunit ribosomal RNA", at positions 355 to 770 of the family's 1533-position model. The record is from RNAcentral.
UGAGGAAUUUUCCGCAAUGGGUGAAAGCCUGACGGAGCAAUGCCGCGUGAAGGAAGAAGGCCUUCGGGUUGUAAACUUCUUUUCUCAUAGAAGAAAGAAUGACGGUAUAUGAGGAAUAAGCAUCGGCUAAUUCCGUGCCAGCAGCCGCGGUAAUACGGGAGAUGCGAGCGUUAUCCGGAAUUAUUGGGCGUAAAGAGUUUGUAGGUGGUCGAGUAUGUUUAAUGUUAAAUACCAAAGCUUAACUUUGGGAAAGCAUUAAAAACUGCAAGGCUGGAGUAUGGUAGAGGUAAAGGGAAUUUCCAGUGUAGCGGUGAAAUGCGUAGAUAUUGGAAAGAACACCAAAGGCGAAGGCACUUUACUAGGCCAAUACUGACACUGAGAAACGAAAGCUAAGGUAGCA